UGGGACGAUGGUAGCGGUUGUGUGAAGAUGGAGUUUCCUGGAGGAAAUGACAAUAACCUGACAAUCACAGGUCCUUCGCACCCUUUCCUGUCGGGGCCGAGACAUUCCAUACACCAAGCUUAGGUGAUGAGGAAUUUGAAAUCCCACCUAUCUCCUUGGAUUCUGAUUUGCCACUGGCUGUCUCUGAUGUCAUUGGCCACUUUGAUGACCUGGCAGACCCUUCCUCCUCACAGGAUGGCAGUUUUUCAGCUCAAUAUGUAGUCCAGACAUUGGACAUGCCUGUGGGCAUGACUCAUGGCUUGAUGGAGCAGGGCAUGGGGGGGGGGGCCGCUCCUGAGUGGGGGCUUGACCAUAGAUUUGGACCAUUCCAUAGGAACUCAGUACAGUGCCAACCCACUUGUUACAAUUGGUGUACCGAUGAGACAUGACCUCAGGCUUGAUGGGGCAUAGCCAAUUGACUACAAUUGAUCAAUCAGAACUGAGUUCUCAACUUGGUUUAAGCUUAGGGAGUGAUACCAUCUUGCCCCCUGCCCAGUCACCUGAGGAUCGUCUUUCAACCACCCCUUCACCUACUAAUUCACUUCAUGAGAAUGGUGUUGAGGAUUUCUGGAGGCAACUUCCCACCCAGAAGACCGUGGUAGUGGAAGCAGGGAAAAAGCAGCAGGCCCCAAAGAAGAAGAAAAAGAAAGACCCUAAUGAGCCUCAGAAACCAGUUUCAGCAUAUGCUUUAUUCUUUCGUGAUACACAGGCAGCCAUCAAGGGACAGAAUCCUAAUGCCACAUUUGAAGAGGUUUCAAAGAUUGUGGCUUCUAUGUGGGAUAGUCUUGGAGAGGAACAAAAACAGGUGUAUAAGAGGAAAACUGAAGCUGCCAAGAAAGAGUAUCUUAAGGCCCUAGCUGCAUAUAAAGAUAACCAAGAAUGUCAGGCCACUGUGGAAACAGUAGAAUUGGAUCCGGUGCCACCAUUGCAGACUCCUUCGCCAUCUCCUGUGGCUGCUGUUGACUGACCCAGCAUCUCCAGCACCAGCCUCAUCCGAGUCCCCUGCCCUGUCCCCUUGCAUUGUUGUUAACUCUACUCUUUCAUCCUAUGUAGCAAACCAGGCAUCUUCUGGGCCUGGGGGUCAGCCCAAUAUUACCAAAUUGAUUAUUACCAAACAGAUGUUGCCCUCUUCUAUUACUCAAGGAAGGAUGGUUACUGUUAUCCCAGCCACAGCGGUGACCUCCCGGGGGCUCCAAUUAGACCAAACAAGUAUAGCUACCAUCCAGCCCAGCCAACAAGCCCAGAUUGUCACUAGGUCAGUGUUGCAGGCUGCAGCUUCUGCUGCUGCUUCUACGCAACUGCCCCCACCCAGACUACAACCCCCUCCAUUACAACAGAUGCCUCAGCCCCCAACUCAGCAGCAAGUUACCAUUAUUCUGCAGCAGCCUCCUCCACUUCAGGCCAUGCAACAGCCUCCUCCUCAAAAAGUCCAAAUCACUUACAGCAACAGCCACCACCUCUGCAAAGCAAGAUUGUACCUCCACCCACUCUGAAAAUACAGACUACCUUGGUCCCUCCAGCUGUAGAAAACAGUCCUGAGUGGCUUAUGAACAACAGCCCUGAAGCCCACACAGUGGAGGCAACCUCUCCUGAGACAAUCUAUGAGGAUUGUGAGACAAUCUCAGACGGAUGUUGAAUUGGUCAGUGGGUCUCCUGUGACACUUUCACCACAGCCUCGAUGUGUAAGGUCUGGUUGCGAGAACCCUCCUGUUGUGAGUAAGGACUGGGACAAUGAAUACUGCAGCAAUGAGUGUGUAGUGAAACACUGCAGGGAUGUCUUCUUAGCCUGGGUGGCCUCUAGAAAUCCAAACACUGUGGUGUUUGUGAAAUAGGCUUUCCAGUUCCUCAAGCCAGUGAAGAUUUACCUGCAGGAAACAAGUCCAAGAGCCUGUUUUUGAAACACAAGCUUCUGGUAGUGCCUGAUCACAAUCCAAGACUUUCCUUCAAGCUUCCCCUACUUUCCUGCUUUCAGCAGUGGCCAGGUUAUGGAGCA
RNA transcript from Dipodomys ordii (Ord's kangaroo rat), 2032 nucleotides. It is a transcript of the gene named TOX high mobility group box family member 4 pseudogene, with no coding region annotated. The transcript has a single exon. Lineage: Eukaryota; Metazoa; Chordata; Mammalia; Rodentia; Heteromyidae. The record is from RefSeq and is a predicted model, not a curated record.